This 76-nucleotide transfer RNA is filed under the name Cellulomonas gelida. Its description in RNAcentral is "tRNA-Thr". It matches the Rfam family "tRNA". From Rfam's summary of the family: Transfer RNA (tRNA) molecules are approximately 80 nucleotides in length. Lineage: Bacteria; Bacillati; Actinomycetota; Actinomycetes; Micrococcales; Cellulomonadaceae. RNAcentral also lists the same sequence under 1 other name. The record is from RNAcentral.
GCCUCCUUAGCUCAGCUGGCCAGAGCACCUGUCUUGUAAACAGGGGGUCAUCGGUUCGAAUCCGAUAGGGGGCUCC